AGUGGCUGAGAACUUGGCUGCUAACCAAAAGGUCGGUGGUUCAAAUCCACCAGCCACUC
RNAcentral lists this transfer RNA (59 nucleotides) under Loxodonta africana (African savanna elephant). It matches the Rfam family "tRNA", at positions 14 to 71 of the family's 71-position model. Rfam says of the family: Transfer RNA (tRNA) molecules are approximately 80 nucleotides in length. Their secondary structure includes four short double-helical elements and three loops (D, anti-codon, and T loops). Further hydrogen bonds mediate the characteristic L-shaped molecular structure. tRNAs have two regions of fundamental functional importance: the anti-codon, which is responsible for specific mRNA codon recognition, and the 3' end, to which the tRNAs corresponding amino acid is attached (by aminoacyl-tRNA synthetases). tRNAs cope with the degeneracy of the genetic code in two manners: having more than one tRNA (with a specific anti-codon) for a particular amino acid; and 'wobble' base-pairing, i.e. permitting non-standard base-pairing at the 3rd anti-codon position. Lineage: Eukaryota; Metazoa; Chordata; Mammalia; Proboscidea; Elephantidae. The record is from Rfam by way of RNAcentral.